CUUCUUGCCUCUCAUCCAGAAUGACGAGGACAACGGCCCUGGGUCUCCAGCUGCUCUUGGGAGGGUAGCAGGUCCUUGCCAGCACCCCCAGACCACAAACCACUUUUUGGAAAGCUGAAGAGCUCCUAAGAAAACCUGUCGUUAGCUGUCAUUCGACACGUUGGGCAAAACCCGCAACCAAGCACUUGGAAGGGUGGCUUUAGGAACACUCACCAGACCUCCUUUCUCAUUCUCAUACCCGGCAACCGCGUGGCCCGUCUCAGGGAGCCACCAUCACGUUGGUCUAUCUCUGCACAGCUGCUCAAGUACGGGUUCCAUCCCAGGAAGCCUGAGGAAGCAGGAAGUCAUCUUAGCUGAGGAAACAGACACUCUGAGCAUCCAUUCCCUGUAACCUGCUUCGUUUCCUAGGCCUUCGUACAAAAUCAAUGCCAAGGUUAAAAAAAUCUAACCAUGGGUUGGGAACAAGGCCUGGAUAUUAUUCCAAGCUCUGGCACAGGCAUGCAGUUUGUCCCUGGGCAAAUUCCUUAGCCUGUCUCUGCCUCAGUCUCAUCAUUCACAGAAUGCUGGGUAAGGAAGGGUACUUCCUUCUCGUUAUUAUGAAAGACAAGCUGUGCUUACGUCCUUCUGCAAAAUGGGACGCCGCUUUCCUAGGAAGGGUACCAGUCAAUACCAGGGUAUGUAUCUUAAAGAGAUAAUCAGAUUAAAAGCAGCAUGGAAUAUACAAAGAAAAAUGAUUGAAUUUCCUAGUGGACCAGGCAUAUUGCUGCCCUUUGGGUCCAAACGAAAAAGUAUAUCUUGAAUUACUGAAAUUUUCUCUUUUUUAAAUUUUUUUUACUUUAUUUUUUGUCUUUUUGCCAUUUCUUGGGCCGCUCCCGUGGCAUAUGGAGGUUCCCAGGCUAGGGGUCAAAUCGGAGCUGUAGCCGACAGCCUACACCAGAGCCAGAGCAAUGCCAGAUCCGAGCCGCAUCUGCGACCUACACCACAGCUCACGGUGACACCGGAUCCUUAACCCUCUGAGCAAGGGCAGGGAUCGAACCAGCAACCUCAUGGUUCCUAGUCGGAUUCGUUAACCAUUGCUCCACGACGGAAACUCCCUGAAAUUUUCUUUCUUGCCUCAUCUAAUACAUGACAGAUUCUAAGUGUCAUUCUUACACCUCAUCCAUUAGUAAUUGCUCACUAAAUCGAAAUACUUGCUACUUUUUCUGGUUGACUGUAUCUAGAACAUUUCCCAGUGUGUUUCAUUCAUUAUUGUACUCAACACGUUUGCUGCAUGAAUAGAUGACUGUGUUGCAUGCUUAUACCGCAAAUUAACAUUUUUUCUUCGUUAGGCACUAUGUUUCUAAUUUCUUGUUUUAUUAAGUAAUGCUGCAAUGUACUAUCUUAUGCAUCAAUAUCUUCCCAGAAAUCUGGUUACCUACUUAAAGCUCAAUCACUGUGAUUUAGAAUUUUGUAGAACAAAAAAGGAAAGCAGUAUACACAAAGAAAAAGAAUAUAUACAAGUGAAACAAACCACAUGGUUAGAAAAUCACAAUAAAAAAUCUGUAAAUG
Molecule: long non-coding RNA, 1548 nt
Filed under: Sus scrofa (pig)
Lineage: Eukaryota; Metazoa; Chordata; Mammalia; Artiodactyla; Suidae
Description: lncRNA (ENSSSCG00045028668.1)
Source: RNAcentral